AAGGCAUAAAGGGCUUUUGAGAUGGAAAUGUUUGAGGAUCAGUGGCCUAUGUGAUUAACUCCGAGACCCCUAGAAUGCUUUCAAGACAUGGACCCUACCUGACACUCCAUUCUCUCCUGACACUCCUUGCUUAAACUACGCCCUAUUGCAAGUGGGUGAUCUGGUGACUGCAGAAAUUCCUCCUUACAAGCCUGAGCAUUCAGCAGUGCUCGGAGUAUUGGCUGCUGAUGAAUCUCAGGUAAAUACUUUUCCAGGAAUCCUUCUAUCAUAAAGGGAUGCCUUGCCUCAGGUUAUAUACCCUGUCUUGGGGCAGCCCAUAUCCACUGACUGCUCAGUGGAAGGUACAAAGGUCUGGACCAGAGUCAAUUUGGGAUAACUCUGAAGGACCAUCCCAGAUCCACUGGGAUUGCCUGAGACCUCUGUUGCAACUGCUUCUCAGCUGAACACUCCCCUCUGCCUGACCCCGCUCCUUCACUCUGUUAGAGGUGAUAUGCCCAGAGCUGAUGGGUGAAACUCCUUCUUGCGCACUUCUGCCUCAGAGUCAAUUUCCCAAGAGCCAGAACUAAGAGUCCUUGUGACAUUGAAAUGUUUUUCAUUUACUGGACAUCUCAUGUUCUUUUAUUCCUCAUUUUGUUUCCUUUGCCUGGAUAUAUUCUUUUACCUGGACGUCUAGAUAAUAUCUCAAGACGUGUCUCAAAUCUAUCUCACACGGAACAUCUUUCUGGACAGCUGCAUGUGCCACAUUUGCACUUCCAUAGCAUACUGUUCCCCACUCUGUGGGGGUUCCCCACCGUAUUAUAUUGAAGUCAUUUGUUUCUUCAACUAGAUUGGAGGUUACCAGUGCUCAGGGUUUAUGUCUAAUUCACGGUUGGUAAUUCAUAUGACCUUGAUUGGAAGAGACACUCAAUAUUUCUAAGCCUUGGAGAGUGGAGUCCAGAUUCUUCAUUUCUAUGAUCCAUUUAAAGUUAGUAAAGAUGCCUUGGGUGGCCCACCAGUUGCUGGUGGUUACAAAGAUGUGUUGCAUUUAAGGAACAUUUGGGCUGCUCUGAACCAGGAGAUGACUUCCUUGAAUAGGUCAAGGUUCCCCAAACCUACAAGAAACUAUUGAGCCUGGUCCAUUGUGCACUGAGACCAGACUUGUGCAUAUGAUGAAUAUCUGCUGAUAGAUGAAAACUCCCUGAGGAAGAGAUGUUUGCGUCUUGUGGGGAUAUGGGUAUUUGAAGGCAUCAAAUUCAAUAAAAGCAAUAUUCAAGAGCCUCAGGAAGCCUCACCUUAGGAAUCCCGAGAUGACCAGAAAGCUGUCCGUGGAGAGCUCAGAAGUUGCCGUAUGAUGGCAGUACCUAGUAACACAUGUUGUUUUCCUAAUAGUGAGCCGUCUACCUCUGACUCCCUGCAUCUGCUGUGAUAUCUGCCCUCCUGAUGGCCUCUGAUGAUUCUUGCUCCUCCUAUUCACUACCUUGUGCUUUCCCCUGCCUCAUUAAAAAGUACUAAUAUAUGUAACCAAUAGAAUAAUAUCAUGUAAACGAUGAGUCUGAUUUCCAAGGCAAGGUCAUAGAAGUAAUUUGAUUAUGGUUUCUGCCUUCCUGUCUCUUGGAUAACUUGUUCUGGAGGAAACAAACCACUGUGAUGUAAGGCUAUGCAAGCAGUUCUGUACUGAGGUCCACAAGGCAAGAAACUGAGACCCCACCCCCACCCCCCAACUGCCAACAGUCAAUGUUGCAUUGCUGGUCAGUUUAGUGAGCCAUUGUGGAAGUGAAUUCAUUAGUUCUAGUCAAGCCUUCAGAAUGCCUUGACCCCAGCCAACUUCUUGACUGAAUCGUCUGAAUCCUCAGACACCCUGAGCCAUAUUCAUUCAGCUAAGUCACUCUUGAAUUUCUAAGUUUUAAGAUAGUUUUCCACAGAGCAAUGGAAAACUAGUACAUUUGUUCAGUGAAAAAAGUGAAACAUCUCCAUCAUGUGCUUUAGAUUCACACACAAACAAAAAUACUGAUCCAUCUAAUACAAUGUCAUGUAUUUUGUGAAGUGCUUCAAAAUAAAUUAUUUUGUUCACUUUUUAUGGUAACUCUAUUACAGAUACAUAAUAGCCUUAUUUUUACAUAGUAGAAAGCUAAGGCUCAUGUAUAAAGUGCAGAAGUUAGAAUUUGCACCCAGUUCUCACUAACCAGAAAGCCCAUGUUCUACUUGCUUGGGUGCAGUUUUAAAGAACAGAUGAAGCCAGAAGAACCAUAGCAGAGGCUGUGGUGCUCAGCCGAGAUAACACUAGAUUUUUACUUUCCUGUGCUGGUACAACCAAUUACAUUAUACCUUGAUUAAAAACAUGACAUUGCUGCAUAAUCUAUUUUCUGUUAUGUUUCAUCUUGUUUUUCCAGAAUUCUUUUUUAGAUGUAAUAUCAAGCAGAAAAAAAUAUUGAAUCUGGGUUCAUGAGAAGGUAGGUUUUGUGGAAAUCAGUAUGAAAACUAUUCUUACCUAUUUUAUCUGGGCAUUUAGACAGGUAUAAUCUUCAUGUCUUUAUAUGAUCAUUAAGUCACAUUCAGCAGACCUUGCAGACAUCUAUAUACCUGACUGUAGUAUUGCAUCAAAGCAAAUAAAAACUGCAUUUGGGAUAAGCCAUAUUUCACAUUUGCUACUGCACCCCAACACCUAAGUCUGCAGACGUCGUAAAGAGUUCAUAAGCAGAUGUUGACUGUUAUAGCACAUGAUAGGCGAGCAGCUUUAUAAAACAGACUUCCACCUUCCAACCAAGAGAAAGACUAUAAUAUUUACAUAUAUAUUUUCUGCUACAUAAAAAGAAAUGCAAGAACCUGAAACAAAUAAUUCAAACAUGAACACAGUUCUUUAUGGGGCUUUUGCUUUCUAUUUCAUCCCAUAUGAACUUCCUUGUUUUCCUGUUUACUACCUGUUAAUAUUUAGCUGUGCUGUGUAGAAUUAUUGCUCUGGAGUAAAAUAAAAUAUUUCACAUAGAAGUAUGUAGCAGGUAGAAUUUAAAUAAAUUGUUACCUCACAAAUAAAUUAUACUUGCCUGCUAUGUGACACUUGAUAAUUAUGUAGUUAUAAAUACAAACUUCAGUGUUUUCAAUUAGGUUAAAGUAGGGAAAUAAGUAUAUUUUAGAUUGAAUGCUUAAGUGUUUUACAUUCUAAUUGUUCUUCUACUCUUUUCCUCCAGUGUCAAAUUCUAUUUGGAGUACAGGGAUUUUUUUUUUCCAUUGAGAAGAGAAUAAAACAGAUAUGUUUGGUUUAAUAUUUCAUUUCAAAUAACUAAUAAUGGUAUCAUUGUAUAUGAUAAUGAUAAUGUGAUUCUGCUCUCUUUGAGGGACAUCAGCUCAUUGAAUUUUCUGCAUAACUAGGACCAAGAGGAUCCCAUUGACUAAGAACAUCUGCUUCUUGUGACUAGAUAGAAUUCACAUGUGUUGGAAGAGAAACUAUCCACAUGGCAGGCACAGAGAAGUGGUGGAAUCCCUGCUAAUGAAAUACUCCUGGCCUUUCUCUACCUCACUUGCUCAAAGGUGGAAUGGUUGGAUUUGUAGAGUGAAAUAGACACCAGCAUUGUACCAUAUGUAUUUCCAUUACACUAGAAAUUGGAAAUCUGCUGUAAACUCAUCACCUCAUUAGCCUGCCAGUUUCACUUAGUAAGCAGGUAACAAGAAGUCCAAGUCAAAGAUUCAAAAUAGGAUUGUUUUAUUCCACAGAUGGAAAAAUGACAGAGGCCCAGGCUCAUAGAAGAUUGUUCAUUCGGACAGUGGAAAGCAUACUUCAAGGACUGAUCGGAUAACAUAAAGCAUGAUCACAGACAGAGCAGAGGCCCUGUGCGAUGCUUGAAAACACUUGGUGAAGUACCCACAUGACCCUGCCCCUCCCAGCCUUCCUUCAGAGGGCAAGUGCUUCCGAGGGCCAAGGGGAGGAGGAAAGCUCUCUGCAUUUCCAUGGAGCACUGAUGAACACUUCUUACUGGGUUUUUUAAACUUACAUUAUUCAAAUGCUACUUUUUGCUAUAAAGCCACAUUUCGUUCAUGUGACACAAUGCGCUGCCUGAAAAAUGGCAUGAUCCUACAGUGAAAUUAUCAAAUUCCUCACCCUCUUCUUUAGCAAUCAUUAGGAAAUCAUCUAUUCAUCAGAUUAUGGGAGAAAUGGAAGAAAUAAAAAAUGAUGAAAAAAUGCAGAGGGAAAUGUUGUUUAUCUCUUUGAGAUGGAAAAUAUGAGACCAUGUGGAUUUCACAAGACUAUUCUAUUUUUACCAGACCUGGUUCUUUAGACAUCUUGCAGGCAAUACUCUCUUCUCUGGUCCCCACAACGCACAUUUCCAAGGCCAUCUCCUCAGUAUUUUAAAUAGGUAAUUUUCUUUCUUAAACCACCAGGAAGGUUUCCAGUUCCCUCCUGAAUCAAGUUAAAAUCUUCUGAUUA
Manis javanica (Malayan pangolin) is the source of this 4399-nucleotide long non-coding RNA. RefSeq lists it as uncharacterized. NCBI's taxonomy places the organism in Eukaryota, Metazoa, Chordata, Mammalia, Pholidota, Manidae. The record is from RefSeq and is a predicted model, not a curated record.